AGUCCGUUAGCUCAAUGGUUAGAGCGCACGCCUUAUAAGCGUGUGACGAUAGUUCGACUCUAUCACGGACUACCA
Molecule: transfer RNA, 75 nt
Filed under: Eubacteriales bacterium
Lineage: Bacteria; Bacillati; Bacillota; Clostridia; Eubacteriales
Description: tRNA-Ile
Rfam family: tRNA
About the family: Transfer RNA (tRNA) molecules are approximately 80 nucleotides in length. Their secondary structure includes four short double-helical elements and three loops (D, anti-codon, and T loops).
Source: RNAcentral